GACGAACGCUGGCGGCGUGCUUAACACAUGCAAGUCGAACGGAAAGGCCCUGCUUUUGUGGGGUGCUCGAGUGGCGAACAGGUGUGUAACACGUGAGUAACCUUCCCUUGACGUUGGGAUAACUUCAGGAAACUGGUGGUAAUACCGGAUAGGAGCUCCUGCUUCAUGGUGUUUGUUGGAAAUUUUCGGCGGUUGGGGAUGGACUCGCGGCUUGUCAGCUUAUUGGUGGGGUAGUGGCUUACCAGUCCUUUGACGGGUAGCCGGGCUGAGCGGGUUACAAGACACAUUGGGACUGAGAUACGGCACAGACCAGUACGGGAGGGAGGAGUGGGGAAUAGUGUACAAUGGGAGGAACGAUGAUGUAGUAAAGCCGCGUGGGGGAUAAGGCCAAUGGCGUUGUAAACCGAUCUGGCCUGUGACGAAGCGAGAGUGACGGUAAUGGGUAAAGAAGCACCGGCUAACUACGUG
Molecule: ribosomal RNA, 468 nt
Filed under: uncultured bacterium
Lineage: Bacteria
Description: partial 16S ribosomal RNA
Rfam family: Bacterial small subunit ribosomal RNA
Source: RNAcentral